Molecule: long non-coding RNA, 1618 nt
Filed under: Homo sapiens (human)
Lineage: Eukaryota; Metazoa; Chordata; Mammalia; Primates; Hominidae
Description: non-protein coding lnc-CAB39-1:1
Source: RNAcentral
CCUCUUUCAGUGAUAUGAAGUUUAAACCAGGUGCUAUAAUCUCUCACUUGAUUUUUGGUUCUCAGGAAGGUGCUUUUUUGUGGGGUUAGUUGCUCAGUUUGGUGUUUCUGCAGGGAGGAUGAUCACUGGAAGCUUCUUUUUUUUUUUUUUUUUUUUUUUUGAGACGGAGUCUUGCUCUGUCUUUAGGCUGGAGUACAGUGGUGAGAUCUCAGCUCACUGCAACAUCCGCCUCCCGAGUUCAAGCGAUUCUCCUGCCUCAGCUUCCCAAGUAGCUGGGACUACAGGCAUGCGCCACCACGCCCAGCUAGUUUUUUUAUUUUUCAUAGGGAUGGGGCUUUACCAUGUUGGCCUGGAUGGUCUCAAUCUUCUCACCUCAUGAUUCGCCCGCCUCGGCCUCCCAAAGUGCUGGGCUCCCAAUCUAAAAACAAAACAAAAUGAAAUAAAACGAAACAUUUGCUCGGACCCCACAUUCCCCUCCAGCCAUCACCCCAUUUCUCUGCUCCUCAUUAGAAACAAAACUUCAUGAAAAUGUUGUCUAAACCAAUGGUUUCUUUCCAGGGCCCCCAUUCUUUCUAGGGACUUUGGGAUUCCAGGCGUGAGCCACCUUUUAAACGUGUCUACAGGUGAUCAUUUUACUCUUCUACUGCCACCACCCUGGACAGAGCCUUAUCUUUUUUUUUUUUUUUUUUUUUUUUUGAGAUGGAGUCUCCCUCUAUCGCCCAGGCAUCCUCAGAAGCCCGUGGCUGGUACCACUAUAUUAUUACACACUUUUUUUUUUAAUGUGUGAGGAAAUCCAGGCACAGGGUUUUAGAUUCUAUAGCAGGGAGACAGAAACUCAGGCCGUUAACAUGACCCAUGUAGAUACUCUUUUGGCUCCCAUCUCUCUAGUUACAGUAUGGUUUCAUCGCUGUUCACUCUCAAAACUGAAAAAGAAAUUUCAUGAAACAGUACUUAGGUCUUACUACAUAGAAUGCAUUCUAAUACUUUCUAUUUUAUUUCUUAAUGCUUUUUAUGAACUACUAAAAUCAGCAUGCAAUUUGAGAGACACUACAAGGUUACAUGAAUUUAUAAACUUAGUUAGAGUGAGAAUAUACCAUACAAACUUUCAUUUUUCUAUUUAAAAAAUAUUUUUUGUAGAGACGGGGUCUCACUAUAUUGCCCAGGCUGGCCUCAAACUCCUGGGCUCAAGCGAUCCUCCUGCCUCAGCAUCCCAGAAUGCUGGGAUUACAGGCUUGAGCCACCUUGCCCAGCUUGUGGUGGCUCACGCCUGGAAUCCCAGCACUUUGGGAGGCCGAGGCAGGAAGAUCACCUGAGGUCAGGAGUUCAAGACCAGCCUGGUCAACAUGGUGAAACCCAGUCUCUACUAAAAAUACAAAAAUUAGCUGGGUGUGGUGGCGCACGCCUGUAGUCCCAGCUACUCAAAAAAUGAAAUGCCCAGGGUGAGGAAAUCUAUAAAUAUUUGAGAUUUUUACAAAGAAAACUAUAAAUUUAAGUGAAAAAAGACUUAAGAACAAAUGAGAAAAUUUUUCCAGGUUGAAUCAUCAUUCUCCAAUUUGCCCUAGUUUGGAUGAUAAAUUGUCAUCUGACCAUUCAGCAGUUGCAAGACUAGCUGUUUUUU